Vitis riparia (riverbank grape) is the source of this 2077-nucleotide RNA transcript. It is a transcript of the gene named increased DNA methylation 3, with no coding region annotated. The record is from RefSeq and is a predicted model, not a curated record. The transcript is spliced from 5 exons. Lineage: Eukaryota; Viridiplantae; Streptophyta; Magnoliopsida; Vitales; Vitaceae.
CCUGGAUAUUUUUCGCUAUGCCUUCUUCAGUUUUUGCAUGUAGUGGAAGCUUUUGAACUGUAACUAAUGGUGGAUGUCAUCAUGAACAUUAUGGAAGCAUACAUCUUAUACUUCAGCACCUCCCUUUUGCUCUGUCUUGGCUUUUUCAUCAUCUUUGUCGUUUUCUUCCAGGCCCAUGACUUUUUAAGCAUGAAAUAUGGCUGCAAACUCUUGGUACAGAUUGGCUUGAAAAUCAUGGUUCACCAAUAUUUAUCGGAUGCAAUCAGUCCUGAGGAUGAUGGUUUAAUGUUCUUCCUAAUAUAGCAAGAGUCGCAUCCCUAUGUCAUAAAUUUUUUUUCUCUCUCUUUAAACUUUCCUUGUUUGUCAAUUGGGAAUAGAAGUUAAUAAACUUAUCUUCUGUGGUUUGAACAGAAAUAACUUCGUAAAACUAAUUACUACUUGACUCAAACUAAGGAGUUUGUUGGAAUGUUUUAAAUUCAAUUAUUAUAAUGAAUUUUAGGAUUGUAAUAAAUGCUUUUUUUUUUUUUGGCUCUGAUGCUGAAAUUGCAAUUAUCAAUUGAUAGUCAUUUCUCAAGUGGUAUCACUGUUCAUUUGUUCUUAUUUUUUAUUUUUUUCCUUUCAUUUUUAGGGCAGUGAUAUUUUGAUGGAAAUAUUGACUUGCAUAUGAAUGUGAAACUGUUUUUGUACUUUCCCUGCUUCCUUUCUUCCCUUUUCUAAUUGUCUUGUUGAGGCUGAUUAUUGGCUUCAUAUUAACUAUUUUGAUACCCUCUUUCUGUUUAAUUAACAAAUCUUAAACUAAGUUAUGCUGUAUGAACUCAAAUUAUUCUCUACUUCUUCGUCUCUCUUUCCGAUUUUCAUCUCUUGUUUCAUGGUGUCAUCAGCAUGAAGGUUAAAUGCCCAUGCAUCGCUAGCAUACUGCAAGAACUGAUGGACUUUGGUAGAUGAAUAAACAUAUUUAUGAUCUCCAGUUGUUUUGAUCGUAGAUUUUCAAGAGUAAAUGGCAUCCUUAGCCACGGUCCUUUGUUUACCUCUGGCUGAUCCAUCAGCACUUUGUAAAUACACAGUGAUAGCAGUGGUUUAAUAGCAAAGAUUUGUCAAUACUACUUUAAGCUGAAAGGAAGUUACCAAAACUGUGAGAUAUUUGGGGAAGGAAGUUUGAAUCUUGUGGAUCUUGACAAUGGAAGAACAUAGAAGCCCUUCACACACAAACCCAGCUGUUAAUGCUGCCGGAAGCGCAAAGGAACGAUCCAGUGGACCAGCUUUUGGUGGUGUCGACAUUGGUGAGAGUGAAGGUGGAUAUUUCCUGAGAGUUGCAAUGCCUGGAGCCAUGAGGGAUGAGGGUUCAUUUAGUAUUAGUAAAGAUGGCACUGUUGAUAUACAAGGUGUGAUCAGAUAUGAGAUUCCAUCACAGGUGCCGAAGAUGAAGGUCCAGCAGCUAUAUCCUCCUGGACCAUUUGCGUUGUCUCUUAAACUGCCUGGACGUGUUGACCCUAGAAUGUUCACUUGUAAACUAAGGUAUGAUGGCAUCUUUGAGGUUGUGGUCAUGAAACCUGGUUAUUCUGAUACGCCAGCACAGCCAUCCUACCGGGAACGCAGCAUGCCUGUAAAUACAUAGAUGAGUAAACUGUAAAAGCUCAUAUUUUGAGUUUCUUGAUUUUGGGCUACUGCAGCAUCAACACUGAUGCUCUUUCAAGAAUGCCUUCACUUCGGAAACUAUCAACCAAUCCGAGAUGACUACACUGAGGAACCCCCAAGCCGUCUCUUUACCUUGGAAACUAUUUAUCAAGAGUGCUUAUGAUGAUGAUCCGUCUGGUCCAUUAAUGGCAUGAAGGCAGGUAUUUGAAAAUGUAUCUACCGUUGACAUUAUUCAGUUUCUUUGAGCAUUCUCAUCAUCUACCAGACCUAAGCCUAAAAUAAUAUAAUUUUUUUGGGCAAGAAGUUUAGGUUAGGUAGAUUGACCACACGGAUCUUUCCGAUAGUGUUGAGUCAAUUGCUAAAUUUGCAGACGUGGCUUCUCCUGUUCAGGGAUUGAGAGUGUUUUUGUUCAAAUUCUCAAGUGGUAGAUGGGUUUAUUUUC